Molecule: ribosomal RNA, 326 nt
Filed under: uncultured Bacteroidota bacterium
Lineage: Bacteria; Pseudomonadati; Bacteroidota
Description: bacterial SSU rRNA
Rfam family: Bacterial small subunit ribosomal RNA
Source: RNAcentral
GAUGAACGCUAGCGGCAGGCCUAACACAUGCAAGUCGAGGGGUAACACGGGUAGCAAUACUUGGUGACGACCGGCGCACGGGUGAGUAACGCGUAUGCAACCUACCCUUAACUGGGGAAUAGCCCGAAGAAAUUCGGAUUAAUGUCCCAUAAUAUUACGAGUUCGCAUGGACAUGUAAUAAAAACUCCGGUGGUUAAGGAUGGGCAUGCGUGACAUUAGAUAGUUGGUGAGGUAACGGCUCACCAAGUCCACGAUGUCUAGGGGGCCUGAGAGGGUAAUCCCCCACACUGGUACUGAGACACGGACCAGACUCCUACGGGAGGCAG